UACGGAAGGGGCUAGCGUUGGUAGGAAUUACUGGGCGUAAAGAGCGCGUAGGCGGCUUACCAAGUUGGGGGUGAAAUCCCGGAGCUCAACUCCGGAACUGCCUUCAAAACUGGUAGGCUCGAGUCCGGAAGAGGGGCGUGGAAUUCCCAGUGUAGAGGUGAAAUUCGUAGAUAUUGGGAAGAACACCGGUGGCGAAGGCGGCGCCCUGGUCCGGUACUGACGCUGAGGCGCGAAAGCGUGGGGAGCAAACAGU
This 253-nucleotide ribosomal RNA is filed under the name uncultured bacterium. RNAcentral describes it as "partial 16S ribosomal RNA". It matches the Rfam family "Bacterial small subunit ribosomal RNA", at positions 524 to 776 of the family's 1533-position model. The record is from RNAcentral.